AGACCCGAAACCCGGUGAUCUAGCCAUGGGCAGGUUGAAGGUUGGGUAACACUAACUGGAGGACCGAACCGACUAAUGUUGAAAAAUUAGCGGAUGACCUGUGGCUGGGGGUGAAAGGCCAAUCAAACCGGGAGAUAGCUGGUUCUCCCCGAAAGCUAUUUAGGUAGCGCCUCGUGAAUUCAUCUCCGGGGGUAGAGCACUGUUUCGGCUAGGGGGCCAUCCCGGCUUACCAACCCGAUGCAAACUGCGAAUACCGGAGAAUGUUAUCACGGGAGACACACGGCGGGUGCUAACGUCCGUCGUGAAGAGGGAAACAACCCAGACCGCCAGCUAAGGUCCCAAAGUCAUGGUUAAGUGGGAAACGAUGUGGGAAGGCCCAGACAGCCAGGAUGUUGGCUUAGAAGCAGCCAUCAUUUAAAGAAAGCGUAAUAGCUCACUGGUCGAGUCGGCCUGCGCGGAAGAUGUAACGGGGCUAAACCAUGCACCGAAGCUGCGGCAGCGAACGUAUCACUUAAAGCGAUUCAGCGGGUUACGAUUGACGGAGCGAAGCGACGUCAAAGCGUAUACAAAGUCGAGUCGGUUUAAGGAUACGUUCGUUGGGUAGGGGAGCGUUCUGUAAGCCUGCGAAGGUGGCCUGUGAGGGUUGCUGGAGGUAUCAGAAGUGCGAAUGCUGACAUAAGUAACGAUAAAGCGGGUGAAAAGCCCGCUCGCCGGAAGACCAAGGGUUCCUGUCCAACGUUAAUCGGGGCAGGGUGAGUCGACCCCUAAGGCGAGGCCGAAAGGCGUAGUCGAUGGGAAACGGGUUAAUAUUCCCGUACUUGGUGUUACUGCGAAGGGGGGACGGAGAAGGCUAUGUUGGCCGGGCGACGGUUGUCCCGGUUUAAGCGUGUAGGCUGGUUUUCCAGGCAAAUCCGGAAAAUCAAGGCUGAGGCGUGACGACGAGGCACUACGGUGCUGAAGCAACAAAUGCCCUGCUUCCAGGAAAAGCCUCUAAGCAUCAGGUAACACGAAAUCGUACCCCAAACCGACACAGGUGGUCAGGUAGAGAAUACCAAGGCGCUUGAGAGAACUCGGGUGAAGGAACUAGGCAAAAUGGUGCCGUAACUUCGGGAGAAGGCACGCUGACACGUAGGUGAAGUGAUUUACUCAUGGAGCUGAAGUCAGUCGAAGAUACCAGCUGGCUGCAACUGUUUAUUAAAAACACAGCACUGUGCAAACACGAAAGUGGACGUAUACGGUGUGACGCCUGCCCGGUGCCGGAAGGUUAAUUGAUGGGGUCAGCGCAAGCGAAGCUCCUGAUCGAAGCCCCGGUAAACGGCGGCCGUAACUAUAACGGUCCUAAGGUAGCGAAAUUCCUUGUCGGGUAAGUUCCGACCUGCACGAAUGGCGUAAUGAUGGCCAGGCUGUCUCCACCCGAGACUCAGUGAAAUUGAACUCGCUGUGAAGAUGCAGUGUACCCGCGGCAAGACGGAAAGACCCCGUGAACCUUUACUAUAGCUUGACACUGAACAUUGAGCCUUGAUGUGUAGGAUAGGUGGGAGGCUUUGAAGCGUGGACGCCAGUCUGCGUGGAGCCGACCUUGAAAUACCACCCUUUAAUGUUUGAUGUUCUAACGUGGACCCGUUA
This 1626-nucleotide ribosomal RNA is filed under the name Salmonella enterica subsp. enterica serovar Thompson. Its description in RNAcentral is "partial 23S ribosomal RNA". It matches the Rfam family "Bacterial large subunit ribosomal RNA", at positions 711 to 2238 of the family's 2925-position model. The record is from RNAcentral. RNAcentral also lists the same sequence under 1 other name. Lineage: Bacteria; Pseudomonadati; Pseudomonadota; Gammaproteobacteria; Enterobacterales; Enterobacteriaceae.